Molecule: long non-coding RNA, 3875 nt
Organism: Felis catus (domestic cat)
Lineage: Eukaryota; Metazoa; Chordata; Mammalia; Carnivora; Felidae
Exons: 5
Source: RefSeq, a predicted model, not a curated record
AUGCCUACACGUGUGUCCAAACCCACAGGAUGUACAACACCAAGAGUGAACCCUAAUGCGAACUAUGAGUGAUUGUGAUGUAGUAAGAGCCACCGGUUUUUCAUACGUCCUUCACUGCUCCCACCAAGUGUCACCAGCGCACGUCUCUGAUGGAGGGCUUGACAGGACAAGGCUGGGCCUGUGGCGAAGCAUGGCGGUAAAGCGAUCCCUUCACUCAACAACUCUGACUCUGUUGCAUAUUGGAAAGAUUGGCCCAUGGCUAGCGGGCAUGUUUGGGGGGAACGUGGCACCGUGUAACUCCGAAGGACGUCAGCCCCUGACAGCCUGUGUGAAUGCUGUCCUUGGGAGUCCUGCUCCCAAGCGUGUUUACUAAGAAGCACUAGGAUAGCAGGAGGACCCAGGUCACUAGCUUAUGCGACCGGAAUGGAAUGCUCGGGCGCUGGCUGCCUUACUGUACUCAUUUCAUCCACAGUGUGACUGUUACCGGAGGGGAGCAACGUUCUUCUGGAAACAUCACCCAGUGGGUCCCUGCGCCCAUCGACCCCUCACUCCUCACUCUAGAGAGCGGACUCUGUGCCUGCCGGCUUCCUAGCCAGUCCCGUGGAGUGCUCACCCCGGACGCAGCGCUGAGCGGGACAGCUUUCCUGCCCUCAGCGCGGCCACAGUCAGGGCCACCUUAACCAUAAACGCAACCCAGUGCAUUAAACCAAAUGGGGCUAAAAGUGGAGCAUUCGGUGCUCAGGGGAUCCUUCCGGGGCUGCAGAGGCAGGCUCUGGGCUGAGCGCUCAGGGUGGCUGGGGCUCUGCUGAGCCCGGAAAAAGAGGACAAAUCAGGAAGCGGCCACCGCUGCUGCCGCUCCCAGGACCUGCUCCUUCUGCCGGGGUCAGGAAGCCCCCGCGACUGCAGAGUCUGCAGAAUCCGGCCACCACCCACGGAACAAAGAAGGCUCCCGCGGGAUCCGGGACGCCACCCCGGCAGCUGUGACCUCAAGGUCCCGCAGCAAAGCGUGUACUCCGCUUCCUGCGCUUGGUCUCACAGAAAGCCCUCUGGUUGGUGGGACUUCCAUCACCACCAAAACUCAGUUGCAAGGGAGUCUGGGAAAUGUAGUUUUUAGCAUUGUGACCGCUACAAGAGCAGAGAGCACUGCAGCGGAGGGCCAGGGGGUACAACCGUUCUACCCACCGCUGUCAGGUCUCUUUAUUCCCUUCCAAAAGCAUGCGGGUCUCCCGUCACACAACCUGUAUAGCAGAAGCUCCACAGGGCUGUCCAGUGCCUUCUCAGCAGAAGAAAGGGGCUCUCUGUCUAGACCCACAGGAAGGCAUGGCAACAGAAGGCCAUGUCUGGAAAGCAGGGGUGAAAAAAGGAUGGCAGAGAGCACUGACCACAGUUUGUGACUUCAAACUUUCUGUAUAACACGGAUGAAGAGAAAGACUCAAAAUCCAACGUUGUCGUGAGCCAAGUGACUGACAUGAGGGAUGGAGUGUUUUCUGUCAGUUCUGUCUGGCCUUCCGAUUUUAUUCCUGUAAGGAGAGAGGAAGUGCCCCGCAUCGUUAAAGUAAACACGCAUGCUGCCAUCGGAUCUCUCGACUGUGCAUCUGGUUUCACUCCCUUCCUGCCUGUUGUCUAUAGGGGGCAAACCUCCUUGUGCUGCUCAAGGUCACUGGAGGCUGGGAUUUCAGAAGUGCUGGGGAACCACGGCCCCUUUCCUACCUUCCACCUGCCACAAAAAACCUAUCCCCCUAUUUCUAUUCGGGGUUAAUGUAAAGAGCUUUUUACAUAAGCCACAGUCUUUUCAUCCUACAGUUAAAUCUGUGCCUUAAAACGCAAAUGUUCCCGGGGGGCCCAUUCAUUCUAUUGGAAGGUAACAGGACAGAUGCAGGUUUAUAGCUGAAAACAGAAGCUUACAAAGCAGGGUGGUAUUGAGAGUGUGAGCGAAGAGGGAAAGAAUAGUGACAGAAAGAAGGAUGACCCUGACCUUCAAGGUCAUCGUGACCAACAACAGUUCAUCGUGCAGUAGCAUGAAUGCAUGGCUUCUGAAACCAGAGGCACUUUGUAAGAUAGUUUCCUCUGAGGCAACCUUUUGAAGUCAAUUCAAAUUCAAACCAAGAGUACAAAAUUAAAAAAAUCAAGGAGGAAUGCGUUUUUGCAAUCUCUUAAAAAAUAAACACCCUGCUGCUUAAAAUUCAUAUAAAAAAUUCAAGUGAUUCUGGAAGUGAUUCUUUACCUAUAAAGUGACAGCGGAAGCAAAGGCCUGCUGUCCUCUUGUGACCCCAGUGGUUACAGUCAGCCCGUGACUCUUGUAGUUAACAAAGGCUGCACAAAGAUGUUCCUAGUUCCUUCGUCGGGGGGUAGAAAUCUAUCUAGACUCUACCCAGCCACCCGGAAACCCUACAAACACCUGAUAGUUGGGCACUGACCUAUGAUGUGGGAAUUAUGCCACUGCUGCUUAAUUAAUGCUUACAAAGGAAAUUCUACCUAUAAGUUUUGAGUUCUGCUAGGCUAAGUAUACAUUUUUAAAUUUAAAUUUUCCUUGCCAUUUGCUGGUAAUGAUGUAAGUCAUGGGCACAUAGCAGCCAGGAAAGCAAAGUACUUCUGAGUAUUUGUGACUUAACAACAAAGGAUCCCUGAAUGCUGCAUAAUGUCAACAUUGAUUAUGAUGACUGCAAUUAAGACCCAUUGCCUGAUUGCAAUUAAGACACUUAUCAAAAGGUGCAAAGCUGUGUCUAGAAUCGAAGAAGCAGAGAGGCUCAGAGCCGGGGUUCUGGCAGCAGACUGCCCGCAAUUUCCCCUGCUGGGCCUGUCUUCUCACCUGUGAAAUGGACAGAAGGGUGGUGUCUACCUGCUGAGUUUUCCGUGGGGAUUAAAUCAAUUAACAUAUGUUCGUUUCUUCGAGCAGUUCCUGGUACAGAAUCAACACUCAGUAAACGGUAACUAUUUUCACUGCUGAAGCCCAGUAUGAUUCAGACGGAUUCCUGAGUAUUUUUAGGAGGAUCACAAUAGCAGUGAUUCUGACAUUUCGCUGUCGGCCUGGGUGCUGAUGCUCACAUCAGUUAUUCCACUAACCAGGAAGAGGGUAACGGUAGUGAAAGUGUCAUCACCAGCGGUGAGUUUGAUGAAAGAUGUUCAACAGCUGGCAUCCGGAGUUCUGCUUCCUCAUAACUGAGACAUCCCUCGAAUCAUUGCGGGUCACAGCUUCUCAGCUGUCGGCGCCCAGCAGUAGGUUCUCUGUGCCAACCCCAGCGGGCAGCGGGCAUGACGAGUGUGAGUGGGCGGGAGUGUUGGGCGACUUGCACGGGACGCUCAGAAGAAGUCACUCCCGAGACCACUCAGUCUACGUUCUGAAGGAGGCUUAGGACAGCGGGCUGCCCCCGACCAAAACCGCCCAGACAGCUGCACUCAUCGGUAUGGGUUUACGGUGUUCUUGCCGAGCGUCCGCACGCCCCACCACCAUCUCCAGAUGGAGACCCGAAACCACAACUUUAUUCACGGCCCACUGGUCGGCAAAACCUGACUGACCGAGGCUGCUGGAGGCCUUUCCCCCAACCCACCUGCCCAUUACGACUCUGCAAGUGCAUUAGUACACUUGGUUGUAUGAUGGUUCCCCAGGUCCUGUGUAAAAUGAUGUUUCUUUAAUAUACAGGGACACCUUUCUCGAGUCUGAUCGGUUCUAAGUUCCCAAACCCAUCUGGCUCCAAGGGUAUCGUACCAGCAGCGUGGCCCUGGGUAGCAGCCGCGAACCUCCUCCCUUGAGGGCGGAGACCGUCUUUCAUAUCUAUAUUCCCAAUACUCAAUAAAUAAAUGAAAAAUAAGUGAAUCAAUGAAUGAACUGCCAAGAUCAAUAAACUCAAUAAACGAAUACUUUCGUUUCCCAAACA